AAAAUGUUCUCACGAAAACAUUGAGCUAAGUGAGAUAUUAUGCGAGUGGGAUUACGGGAGCUUUCCAACUCCAUGUUUCCUUUCUAUGUCUCCAGUAGAUCUCAUCUUCAUCAACCUGCGUUUGAAAUUUGAAAGCAUCCUUAAGCAAAUAGUAAGUGGAUAAAUAGAGUAUGAACAACUCCUCGAUCUACCUACAAUAUAUGAGAGAAGUACAUGAAGAAAUCAUUAUGUAGUUUCUUUAACUAGCAAAAAGAGAUGCUUCUGAAUAUAACAAUCACACUCACUCUUGCAUUCACAAAUAAUUGAAUCAAACAUGUUCAACAAUAAAUGAGCUAGCCUUAUACAAAAUAUUGUUUUCUUAAGGAUCAGAAUUCUUUUUAAUAACAUAUUAACAAGUAAACAGUUGAUACGGCUCAAACACAGGUAGGAGAAAAAAAUAGAGACUACCAUUGAGUAAAUGAGAAGAAAUAUAUAUCCUGACGAAAAUUAUAAAUAAUAGGAGCAUAAACAAGUUCACAUUUCCUCGCUAGAAAUAAAGAGAAUAUAGCCACAAGACUUAAAAAGAGGAAUGUCAUGGAAGUUAUUCAUCCAAGUAAACAGCCCCAUUUUGAAAUGAACUUAAUGUAUCAUACAUAUAUUUAUUAUAAAUAGCAUCCUCAAAGUCAAAUACAAAAUUAAUCCUAAUAUUUACCAAGAACAAUGAGAACAUAUGCCCGAAUUUCCAAUAACAUUUAUGUAACAUUUAAGUAAUAAUAGUUAUUAUUAUUAGGGUAAGGCAGCAUAUCUACCCUCCACAAACCUCAAUGGUGGUGGGAGCCUCGUGCACUGGCCUGCACCUUUAUUGUUAUUAUUGUUAGCAUAAUCUGCAUAUAUGAAAAGAAUUAUAAACAACAACGAUAACCAAAUCCUCUUCCUUAAUUCCAACAAAAAUAUUACAUCUCACUCUCCAUAAUCAAACUACAAUACUAGAGAAAUCAUAAUGUAUACUACGAUAAACAAUAAGUUAGAAAGAAGUCAGUGUGAUAGGCCACAGCCAUUCUGAAUUUAUAGUAUGAAUAAAGAACUACUGUUGGCAUUUGCAUUAUCAAGGCAAUUAUGCUCAUAAAGCAUAGCAUAUGGCAUCCACUUCACAUUUAUGGUCAUACAGUUCAAGCAUACCAUACUGCUUUACAUUAUCAAUACACAUCUCUUAUUACAAUUGCAUUUAGAAACUUAAAUAUUCCAUCUAUAUUCUAAUAAAUGAAUAAAAAAUUCAUACUGCAAUUUGCAAUUCGGGUCAUCAAGGCAUAAUCCAUAUCCUAUGAACAAUUGUAUUUAGGGAAAUCAUGGCCACAAACAUACCAUACCAAUUUAUAAUAUGAAUAAAAAAAUUAAUACUAGAAUUACUCUUAAGAAACUAAACCAUUCCAUUUUAGGUUAUGAAUAGAGAAUGCAGAAUUCAUACUGUAACUUCGUAUAAGAUCAUCCAGUAAAUCAGGGUCUCAUUCAGAUUUCAAACUAUAGGCAACUAGGGUCAUUUGAUUUCAGAUUAGAUUCAGUUCUCCCAACCGUACCAACUUGUCAAGGAAGUAUAUGACAUAAAGUAUUUAACUUGAACGCUGUAAACUAAAGUAUUAGAAAAAAGGUAGAUAUAAAUUGAAGUAUUAGAAAAAAUGUAUUUGUAUGAAUUUUAUAUAUUAUUAUUGUAUCAUCUAUCAUUUGGAUUUAAUCAUACAGUACAUGGAUAUUACAUUCUUAACAUACUAGUCGUGAUUUGUGGAUGAAAGAAACAUGUGAAAUCUAAGUUUCAAAUAAAGAAGCUGGGAAAAAAAAUAUCCACACCUAACCUUGCUUAUAUCUCAAAGUAAAAAAUCACAUGCCUUCACAUCUAAUAUUGUAUCAAUUUCAAAGAAGCGGUUGGAACAAAACAAACACUUCACAUUCUAAUUUAUAGCAUCUCAAUUCUCAAGACAUAAUGUGAUUAUACUAACAAUUUCUUUUUCUCUCAUCACGGUAAGAGAGCACACGCCAAAUUACAGAAGCUGUAUGAAUUAUAUAAGUGUAAUUUUAUAUAUCCUAAUAAAAAAUAUGUUGAUAUAGUGAUAUAAGACCUUAAUGGAUCUUCAUGUAGACCAAAAGGUCAAUUGUUUAAUUCCUGAAUACAAUACUUAUUGGGAGGGACAACCAUACAUCCCAAAAGAGAUUAGUUACAUACUGACCCUUAAUUAUACCAAAACAUUAUAAAAAUUUGGUUUAUAAAUCCUCCUCAGAACGUAUAAAGAUGAUGCCUUAUAUAGACUAAUUUUGUUUUUGUAAGAGAGUAUGUUAUGUUUAUGUCAUUAUCAGUUGAAUAUAGGCUGUUAAGCUAAAUGUAUUAAUAUUUCUUAACGUAAAUGUACUAAUUUGAAAUCUAUAUGUAUGAGAGGUUAAUAGUUUGGGAGGCCUACAACAAAAUUAUAAAAAGGUAGUCGGCAAUUCUGAUGACACAUUUCAUUCAAGCUCAGACCACAGAAAUAGAGUCUGUUAUGACAUAAACAUUUGCAUUUCCCGGUUACCAUCGCCAGCUUCAUGCCGACCACAGAAAUAGAAAACACAGAAUUAACUGACAAAUAGGUUUUCUGUGUUCCCAUGCAGCUAACGAUAAAUUCCAUUUUCCUCUUUCCUAGAGUAGAGCUCAUAAAUGAUUAUAUAAUAUUUCACAUUCAUCCCAAUUCCCACAUGUGCGAAUAAGACAUGAAAUCUAACAAUCUAUAGAAAUCUAACCUGUGAUAGGUGCCAGGCAGAUAUCUGAAACUUUCCUACAAAAACAUCCAUGCGCUGCUAUUUUGCGGUUUUGCUUUCUUCAGUCACUUGUCCCCAUAUGAAGAAGAAGCCAGAUAUGAAUUCCAAUAAUAUGUUACAAUAUGCAUACAAAAUUAAU
RNAcentral lists this long non-coding RNA (2899 nucleotides) under Lupinus angustifolius (narrow-leaved blue lupine). RNAcentral's name for it is "long non-coding RNA (LANG_LNC000928)". Lineage: Eukaryota; Viridiplantae; Streptophyta; Magnoliopsida; Fabales; Fabaceae. The record is from RNAcentral.